RNAcentral lists this ribosomal RNA (461 nucleotides) under uncultured bacterium. Its description in RNAcentral is "SSU rRNA". It matches the Rfam family "Bacterial small subunit ribosomal RNA", at positions 26 to 518 of the family's 1533-position model. The record is from RNAcentral.
AGAAUCAACGCUGGCGGCGUGCCUAACACAUGCAAGUCGAACGAGAAAGUGGAGCAAUCCAUUAGUAAAGUGGCGCACGGGUGAGUAACACGUGACUAACCUACCCUUGAGUGGGGGGAUAACCUAGGGAAACCUGGGCUAAUACCGCAUAAUACCUUCGGGUCAAAGGAGCAAUUCGCUUAAGGAGGGGGUCGCGGCCGAUUAGUUAGUUGGCGGGGUAAUGGCCCACCAAGACGAUGAUCGGUAUCCGGCCUGAGAGGGCGCACGGACACACUGGAACUGAAACACGGUCCAGACUCCUACGGGAGGCAGCAGUGGGGAAUUUUGCGCAAUGGGGGAAACCCUGACGCAGCAACGCCGCGUGGAGGAUGAAGCCCCUUGGGGCGUAAACUCCUUUCGAUCGGGACGAUAAUGACGGUACCGGAAGAAGAAGCCCCGGCUAACUUCGCGCCAGCAGCCGC